GAGACUUGGACUUUGCUUGCUUGCCAUUUGUGCUCAUUCGCACAUACUUGUGAGGGUCGCUCCCUACAAGCCGGCACUCCGGAGUUAGCCUACGCGACUUUUGUUCGCUCGUGCGGUAUCGAGAAGCCUACGGGGUCGAGUGGGACAGACACAUUCCAUGAGUAGGAAUGUCGGGCUACCACAGGCACUUAGGCGGCACAAGCUGGACUACCUUGGGUAGGUCCCUAAUUGGAAAUGGAAAUCGACACGGUUUGAGAAUGAACAAUCACUACUAGA
RNAcentral lists this long non-coding RNA (276 nucleotides) under Ananas comosus (pineapple). RNAcentral describes it as "long non-coding RNA (ACOM_LNC003359)". Lineage: Eukaryota; Viridiplantae; Streptophyta; Magnoliopsida; Poales; Bromeliaceae. The record is from RNAcentral.